AUACGUAGGUGACAAGCGUUAUCCGGAUUUACUGGGCGUAAAGGGCGUGUAGGCGGUCUUGCAAGUCAGAAGUGAAAUUCCUGAGCUCAACUCGGGCGCUGCUUCUGAAACUGCAGGACUUGAGUGCUGGAGGGGAUAGCGGAAUUCCUAGUGGAGCGGUAAAAUGCGCAGAUAUUAGGAAGAACACCGGUGGCGAAGGCGGCUAUCUGGACAGUAACUGACGCUGAGGCGCGAAAGUGUGGGGAGCAAACAGGAUUAGAUACCCUGGUAGUCCACACUGUAAACGAUGAAUGCUAGGUGUAAGAGGUAUCGACCCCUUUUGUGCCGGAGUCAACACUAUAAGCAUUCCGCCUGGGGAGUACGGCCGCAAGGUUGAAACUCAAAUGAAUUGACGGGG
This 397-nucleotide ribosomal RNA is filed under the name uncultured bacterium. RNAcentral's name for it is "partial 16S ribosomal RNA". It matches the Rfam family "Bacterial small subunit ribosomal RNA", at positions 523 to 918 of the family's 1533-position model. The record is from RNAcentral.